Non-coding RNA from Brugia malayi, 93 nucleotides. Lineage: Eukaryota; Metazoa; Nematoda; Chromadorea; Rhabditida; Onchocercidae. The record is from RefSeq and is a predicted model, not a curated record.
UAUUUUAGCUAACUUUAUACGUAGAGAAUACUGAUCCUCUGCAGUAAGGAUCAGUAUUCUCUACGUAAAAUGGAUGAAUGGUAGCAUUCUGUA